GCCUCAAGUGCCACGCAAACGCACACAAACACGCAAUAUACAUGAGCGUCUCGGCGCAACGUGAGGGGGCUGUGGCCGAAAUUGCACGACGGGAGUGCGCGCUGCUCACAAGACUGGCCACUACCAACCGACGGAACAGGGUGUACAGGCACCACCUCUUUUUCCGCCGCUCUCGCCACGCCGUGCAACUUGCAAGGAAGUGCUACAACGCAGCGAAUCCUAACUUACAGAGGCGCAAUGAGAGACGACAGUCCGCGGCGCUGCUCUCGGCGCACCGCGCGCUGAUCAAGGCAGUGGAGCACUGCACUGCGGAGCUGGCCGCUAACCGCAUUGACACAAUCGCCCUUUGCGUCGCAUUCAUCGGCAUCUUGUCACGACUGGGUUGCUGCGUAGGGCAGACGAUCUUGCUGAAUGGCGGCGCAGCGCUGCUCCCCAGCUCGUGGCCGGACUCCUACGCUCGCUACCUGGCAGCGGCUGUCCUCGCGCAGCCAUCGACGAGUCCCUCCCCUCCUCCCCCGUCUGCCACUCACCGCAUCGCUCCGCCAGACAAUCAGCGAGAAAAGAGCAGCAGUCGCUCUUACGGUGACAUUGUGAACCAGCUGGUGAAGCAAACGGCAAGGAGGAAACGCUAGUGGAAAAGACGCUCGCGUAAGAAGCCGCAAGGUACCCGUUGCCCCCCGCCUCACAUAGCCACGUUCUUUUUGUUUUCCCACGUGUCCUUCUAUCACGAACAGGUCCAAAAGAGAUGCAUGCACAACCACCGUUCACCUACCUCUGUUGCACUGCCGCUAUGUCAAGCAACCAGGCCGACGAGCACCGUUUGGUGUCCUUCAGACCAUCGUAAUGCCACCGCGUGCAGCGCAGGCAAGAACCGGGUUUACACUCUCAGCACCACCGCAACGCAGCUAAAGCAGGAAAACAAGAGGCGGAUGCGUGUUUUUGUUGAAUCGCCGACACAAUUCGCAGCGAGCUCGUACAAACGUGGUCAUGACCGCAUGCCUCUUUGGUAAAGCGCCAGCCCAGGCCUGCCCGCCGGCACCGAGUAUCCGCAGUCGCUCCCGAGGGAAGGCCGCGGGGUAUUGGCUUUUUUUCCCGGUUGGGCGCUUGGCCCCGAUAAAACGCCCAGGCGGGCGGCGCCAGCGAGGCAACAUGCAAACCACCGCCCCCCCCCCCGGGGGAACAGACGCGACACGAAAGCGGCUCCGCGCAAAAAGCCAAAAAAGCCGACCAGCGCAAACAGAAAGGCACGGUCGCCGGGAAACGAACACCACGCCAGGAGAACCCCCCGGCCAGACGCCCGGCAAACAAAACAAGGCCGCACGAUCGACCCUGCCCAGGAGACCCCACGAAAAGCUACACACCGCAACGCAAAACCACGGACAAAACCCCAAGUCCGAAAAAAAAAAACCAACGAAACCAGCGAAAAAGACGACGACAUUACGGUAACUUCCGCCUCCAAUGAACGAGGACAGCCCAGAUAAGCGAAAACCCCCUUUCGGCCAAUCCGGAGAACUCAGUCGCCUCUUUCACAGCAAAGCAUCUGCAAACCGUCAACAAAAACGCGGCCCCCGCAAGAAUGCGCACCCCUUCAAUGAAACCGCAAACGAACCCUGUAAUCCGGCAACCCUCUCCCUACAACAUUCAACAGGCCGUAAAGCCUUUCAACGGCCACACAACUUCUUAAACGAACGCCCAUUCCUUUCCCCUCCGUGCCUACACCUUCGCCACACGUGCGACCUGGGUUCCGCCCCCCGCCCCCCGAGGGCAGCGGCCGCUUGCCGAAAGGCCCGAACAGCCCACCCACCCCCGGACCCCGCCCUAAACACGGCCCACCAAGCCGAAACGCCCCCCACCCCAACGACGGCGAAAGCACGCCCCGCUACGCCACAAGCCGCCCAGAGAUCGGCCGCCGGCAUCCGUGCCACUGCAUCGCACUGACCUCCCCACGUCCUAGGCACCCUGGCCCUGUCACCACCAGGGGGUGGUUCGGCAGUGGCUGGGAUAGGGAGGGAGGGGGGAGGAGGCUGCUCGGCUUCCCCACCCAAAGUGAGGCCUCUCUCCUCCUCGAGAGGGAGAAAGGAGAAUGAGAAGGAAAAACAUAAACAACCAAAAAAAACAAGAAAAGAGGUUCGCUGGAACAAGAGAGAGGUGAGCGAGAUGGCUCAAACAACAGAGAGCCCAACGCGCAGUGGGAACACGCGGACGCAGAGGACGGGAGCCCAUGCAAGGAAGGCAGGAGCAAAACAAAACGGAAGGUCCGAAGAGAGCGAGCAAUGUAGCAACGAGGAGGAGCGGCAGAGUGAGGAGGAGUCGGGCACGCGCACCCCCACACCCACGCACACGCGCAUAAAUCACAAGGGGGAAUCACAUAAUAGUGUGGUGCCCUGGCACGUCUCAGACUUUGCCGCCGGCGCGUCCGCAUGCCUCUGCGUGUGCACAUGCACCGGCAAAAAAAAGGGGUCCGGCGGAAGCGAACGCGCACAUGUCCGCACAUUAUAAACCAUUUUGCGUUUUGCUUCCACGUGUCCAUUCCUGCGCCACACAACAUGCGCUAAGCUCCACUCUACCGGGUCUGCAACAGGCACCCAGCGCGCGGUGCAACGCAGCCGCAGACACGCAUCACAGCAGCGCCCGCUUUUCAUCGGGCCAGGGACUCGCCCGCAAACACUAGCGACACACCUGCCCUUCAGGCCGCCGAACAGCCGCUUCGAGUAUGCCGGUCGCCACGUGACACAUCGCUCGGGGUAGCCCAGCCUCCCCACCAGUAGGCAGCGAGAGCCGAGUGGGAUGCAUUGGAUUCACGCCAACGCCCUGCCCAUCAUAUGGGCGGCGCAAGCGCGCUGACGGUUUCAAGUUGCCCCAAAGGCGCGCCAUCCAGCCGCCGACCGCAAACAUCAGUAGCGACACAUCCCGCCGGCCCCCGAUGCCUAGGGCGCCAAGCCCCACCACAACCAGUGGUGACGCAGCAUUGCCCAGGAAAGGGGCCGCGUAGAUUCCCCAAAGCUGUUCCCGGACCACCGCACCGCACCAAAGCCGCAACCGCAGCCACCCCAAACAGCGCCCGACCACCACAACCCGCGCAGCAGAUCUUUUUUUUUUGCCCCGCAGCGGCUGUAAAGAAAAGCAACCUUCCCGCGCUGCCCCUGGCCCUCGUCUUUCCGCGGCGCCGCGCACAUCGGCUCAUAUGAAAGGGCAAAUAAACGAAAAAUCAAAUUUCGACAGGCCCGCAAGGUCGCAAAAGGAAAGGACAGGGGUUUGCUAUAGCUUUUUAAUUUCAAAAAAGGCCGACGAAGGGCAGCAAACGCCUACUGGAACAAAAGCGAAAGAAAACAAGGAAAAUUUAGUCAAGAAAAUUAAAAACCCACAGCAGCACAGCACCGUCCGGAAAGAAGUCGACAUAAACACAGACUACAAAAAAACUUGCCAUUAGGCUAUCCGUAAAACUCGGCCUAUUGGCAAGAAAUUGACGGCGGCCAACAAACCCCGGGAAGAGGGGCCCGCGCAGCCAAACGCCCGCGCAAGAAAACGCCGCCCCAAAGCUGAAAGGGG
Molecule: unclassified non-coding RNA, 3549 nt
Filed under: Leishmania donovani
Lineage: Eukaryota; Euglenozoa; Kinetoplastea; Trypanosomatida; Trypanosomatidae
Description: gene:LdHU3.26.2070(CDS-product:hypothetical_prote in_conserved)
Source: RNAcentral